This 253-nucleotide ribosomal RNA is filed under the name uncultured bacterium. Its description in RNAcentral is "partial 16S ribosomal RNA". It matches the Rfam family "Bacterial small subunit ribosomal RNA", at positions 524 to 776 of the family's 1533-position model. The record is from RNAcentral.
UACGUAGGGCGCAAGCGUUGUCCGGAAUUAUUGGGCGUAAAGAGCUCGUAGGCGGUUUGUCGCGUCUGCUGUGAAAACUCGAGGCUCAACCUCGGGCUUGCAGUGGGUACGGGCAGACUAGAGUGCGGUAGGGGUGACUGGAAUUCCUGGUGUAGCGGUGGAAUGCGCAGAUAUCAGGAGGAACACCAAUGGCGAAGGCAGAUCUCUGGGCCGUAACUGACGCUGAGGAGCGAAAGCAUGGGGAGCGAACAGG